UAGGGAAUCUUCCGCAAUGGGCGAAAGCCUGACGGAGCAACGCCGCGUGAGUGAUGAAGGUCUUCGGAUCGUAAAACUCUGUUAUUAGGGAAGAACAUAUGUGUAAGUAACUGUGCACAUCUUGACGGUACCUAAUCAGAAAGCCACGGCUAACUACGUGCCAGCAGCCGCGGUAAUACGUGGGUGGCAAGCGUUAUCCGGAAUUAUUGGGCGUAAAGCGCGCGUAGGCGGUUUUUUAAGUCUGAUGUGAAAGCCCACGGCUCAACCGUGGAGGGUCAUUGGAAACUGGAAAACUUGAGUGCAGAAGAGGAAAGUGGAAUUCCAUGUGUAGCGGUGAAAUGCGCAGAGAUAUGGAGGAACACCAGUGGCGAAGGCGACUUUCUGGUCUGUAACUGACGCUGAUGUGCGAAAGCGUGGGGAUCAAACAGGAUUAGAUACCCUGGUAGUCCACGCCGUAAACGAUGAGUGCUAAGUGUUAGGGGGUUUCCGCCCCUUAGUGCUGCAGCUAACGCAUUAAGCACUCCGCCUGGGGAGUACGACCGCAAGGUUG
Molecule: ribosomal RNA, 550 nt
Filed under: uncultured bacterium
Lineage: Bacteria
Description: bacterial SSU rRNA
Rfam family: Bacterial small subunit ribosomal RNA
Source: RNAcentral